CCUACGGGCGGCUGCAGUGGGGAAUAUUGCACAAUGGGCGCAAGCCUGAUGCAGCCAUGCCGCGUGUGUGAAGAGGGCCUUCGGGUUGUAAAGCACUUUCAGCGGGGAGGAAGGCGGUGAGGUUAAUAACCUCAUCGAUUGACGUUACCCGCAGAAGAAGCACCGGCUAACUCCGUGCCAGCAGCCGCGGUAAUACGGAGGGUGCAAGCGUUAAUCGGAAUUACUGGGCGUAAAGCGCACGCAGGCGGUCUGUCAAGUCGGAUGUGAAAUCCCCGGGCUCAACCUGGGAACUGCAUUCGAAACUGGCAGGCUAGAGUCUUGUAGAGGGGGGUAGAAGUCCAGGUGUAGCGGUGAAAUGCGUAGAGAUCUGGAGGAAUACCGGUGGCGAAGGCGGCCCCCUGGACAAAGACUGACGCUCAGGUGCGAAAGCGUGGGGAGCAAACAGGAUUAGAUACCCCGGUAGUC
This 465-nucleotide ribosomal RNA is filed under the name uncultured Klebsiella sp. RNAcentral's name for it is "bacterial SSU rRNA". It matches the Rfam family "Bacterial small subunit ribosomal RNA", at positions 338 to 795 of the family's 1533-position model. The record is from RNAcentral. Lineage: Bacteria; Pseudomonadati; Pseudomonadota; Gammaproteobacteria; Enterobacterales; Enterobacteriaceae.